Molecule: ribosomal RNA, 565 nt
Filed under: uncultured bacterium
Lineage: Bacteria
Description: partial 16S ribosomal RNA
Rfam family: Bacterial small subunit ribosomal RNA
Source: RNAcentral
UGGGGAAUAUUGCACAAUGGGCGAAAGCCUGAUGCAGCGACGCCGCGUGAGGGAUGACGGCCUUCGGGUUGUAAACCUCUUUCAGCAGGGAAGAAGCGAAAGUGACGGUACCUGCAGAAGAAGCGCCGGCUAACUACGUGCCAGCAGCCGCGGUAAUACGUAGGGCGCAAGCGUUGUCCGGAAUUAUUGGGCGUAAAGAGCUCGUAGGCGGUUAGUCGCGUCUGCUGUGAAAACUCGAGGCUCAACCUCGGGCUUGCAGUGGGUACGGGCUGACUAGAGUACAGUAGGGGUGACUGGAAUUCCUGGUGUAGCGGUGGAAUGCGCAGAUAUCAGGAGGAACACCGAUGGCGAAGGCAGGUCACUGGGCCGCAACUGACGCUGAGGAGCGAAAGCAUGGGGAGCGAACAGGAUUGAGAUACCCUGGUAGUCCAUGCCGUAAACGUUGGGCCACUAGGUGUGGGGGUCCAUUCCCACGGAUUCCGUGCCGCAGCAAACGCAUUAAGUGCCCCGCCUGGGGAGUACGGCCGCAAGGCUAAACUUAAGUGAAUUGACGGGGUCAUAGCUG